AGAGAGCCCUCUACAGGGAUGUCAUGCAGGAGAACUAUGAGACGGUGACCUCGCUGGGGUUUCUAAAUUGCAAACCUGAUGUGGUUUCACAGCUGGAACGAGGGGAAGAGCCGUGGGUCCCGGACCUCCAGGGUUCUGAGAAAGAAGUGCUCCCGAGAGCUGCCUGCACAGGUGAUAGGAUGGUGCGUGAGAAUGAGGAGCAGAAACCCCAGCAGG
Long non-coding RNA from Mauremys mutica (yellowpond turtle), 216 nucleotides. RefSeq lists it as uncharacterized. Lineage: Eukaryota; Metazoa; Chordata; Testudines; Geoemydidae. The transcript has 3 exons. The record is from RefSeq and is a predicted model, not a curated record.